GACAGAGGGUGCAAACGUUGUUCGGAAUUACUGGGCGUAAAGCGCAUGUAGGCGGCCACGCAGGUCGGAUGUGAAAUCCCUCGGCUCAACCAAGGAAGUGCAUUCGAAACCGCAUGGCUGGAGUCCCGGAGAGGAAGGCGGAAUUCUCGGUGUAGAGGUGAAAUUCGUAGAUAUCGAGAGGAACACCGGCGGCGAAAGCGGCUUUCUGGACGAGGACUGACGCUGAGAUGCGAAAGCGUGGGGAGCAAACAGG
This 253-nucleotide ribosomal RNA is filed under the name uncultured bacterium. Its description in RNAcentral is "partial 16S ribosomal RNA". It matches the Rfam family "Bacterial small subunit ribosomal RNA", at positions 524 to 776 of the family's 1533-position model. The record is from RNAcentral.